This 587-nucleotide long non-coding RNA is filed under the name Citrus sinensis (sweet orange). Its description in RNAcentral is "long non-coding RNA (CSIN_LNC003503)". Lineage: Eukaryota; Viridiplantae; Streptophyta; Magnoliopsida; Sapindales; Rutaceae. The record is from RNAcentral.
UUCGUCUUAGAAACAACCAUUACAUAUAUUUGAUAAAAUUCUAAAGAAAAUUUAAUUUAAUUUCUGUACAAUCAAGCCUGCAUACAAUUAAAAUGAAAUUAAUUUCUUAAGCAUCAUGUUUCUGGAUAAAGAUAUUAUUAACUUGUUGACUACUUGUUCUACACUUCUACCUACGGUCCUCGCUACUCUGUUGUGGAGAUGACAUUUUAAGCUCAGAAGCAAAUCCAAAUGUUGGUUGAAAAUGGCGUCAAGGUAUCAUGGUAAAGCUGAAGACAAGCACCAAUUCAUAAACAGUCUGCAAUAUUGAUGAUACACAACGAUAACAGUAGCACAAGCCCAUGAGAUGAAUACACAGAUAAGACCCAUGGAGCAGCUCGGAAAAAAAAUGGAGACCAUCAAGAUUGCUGAAAGUGAUGUCCUGAUGCAACAGCAAUAAUGCCAAAGCGUUUGGUGAUACUUUCUUUUUGACAUAAAGACUUAAUGUCAGCUGCAAAGGCGAAGCAGUAGAUUGCUUGGAACACAAGAAAACUCCACAUAUUUAUUGUAUGUGUUUUGAAUAUUGGGCUCAGUUGUGCCCUGAAUAUUGG